Molecule: ribosomal RNA, 567 nt
Filed under: Arthrobacter psychrolactophilus
Lineage: Bacteria; Bacillati; Actinomycetota; Actinomycetes; Micrococcales; Micrococcaceae
Description: bacterial SSU rRNA
Rfam family: Bacterial small subunit ribosomal RNA
Source: RNAcentral
UGGAACUUUUUCCCACGGAUAAUUACUAUGCAAGUCGUAACGAUGGAACCCCGCAUUGCGGGGGGAUUAGUGGCGAACGGGUGAGUAAACGUGAGUAACCUGCCCUUAACUCUGGGAUAAGCCUUGGAAACGGGGUCUAAUACUGGAUAUUGACUUUUCCUCGCAUGGGGAUUGGUUGAAAGAUUUAUUGGUUUUGGAUGGACUCGCGGCCUAUCAGCUUGUUGGUGAGGUAAUGGCUCACCAAGGCGACGACGGGUAGCCGGCCUGAGAGGGUGACCGGCCACACUGGGACUGAGACACGGCCCAGACUCCUACGGGAGGCAGCAGUGGGGAAUAUUGCACAAUGGGCGAAAGCCUGAUGCAGCGACGCCGCGUGAGGGAUGACGGCCUUCGGGUUGUAAACCUCUUUCAGUAGGGAACAAGGCCAGUGUUUAGCUGGUUGAGGGUACUUGUUUAAUAAACGCCGGCUAACUACGUGCCAGCAGCCGCGGUAAUACCUAGGGCGCAAGCGUUAUCCGGAAUUAUUGCGCGUAAAAGACCUCGUAAGCCGUUUGUCCCGCCCGCCGU